RNAcentral lists this ribosomal RNA (252 nucleotides) under uncultured bacterium. RNAcentral's name for it is "partial 16S ribosomal RNA". It matches the Rfam family "Bacterial small subunit ribosomal RNA", at positions 524 to 776 of the family's 1533-position model. The record is from RNAcentral.
UACGUAGGGGGCAAGCGUUAUCCGGAAUUAUUGGGCGUAAAGAGUACGUAGGUGGCAACCUAAGCGCAGGGUUUAAGGCAGUGGCUCAACCAUUGUUCGCCCUGCGAACUGGGAUGCUUGAGUGCAGGAGAGGAAAGCGGAAUUCCUAGUGUAGCGGUGAAAUGCGUAGAUAUUAGGAGGAACACCAGUGGCGAAGGCGGCUUUCUGGACUGUAACUGACACUGAGGUACGAAAGCGUGGGGAGCAAACAGG